AGAGACCGGCGCACGGGUGCGUAACGCGUAUGCAAUCUACCUUUUGCAGAGGGAUAGCCCAGAGAAAUUUGGAUUAAUACCUCAUAGUAUGUGAGAAUGGCAUCAUUUUCACAUUAAAGUCACAACGGCAAAAGAUGAGCAUGCGUCCCAUUAGCUAGUUGGUAAGGUAACGGCUUACCAAGGCAACGAUGGGUAGGGGUCCUGAGAGGGAGAUCCCCCACACUGGUACUGAGACACGGACCAGACUCCUACGGGAGGCAGCAGUGAGGAAUAUUGGACAAUGGGCGCAAGCCUGAUCCAGCCAUGCCGCGUGCAGGAUGACGGUCCUAUGGAUUGUAAACUGCUUUUGUACAGGAAGAAACACUCCCUCGUGAGGGAGCUUGACGGUACUGUAAGAAUAAGGAUCGGCUAACUCCGUGCCAGCAGCCGCGGUAAUACGGAGGAUCCAAGCGUUAUCCGGAAUCAUUGGGUUUAAAGGGUCCGUAGGCGGUUUAGUAAGUCAGUGGUGAAAGCCCAUCGCUCAACGGUGGAACGGCCAUUGAUACUGCUAGACUUGAAUUAUUAGGAAGUAACUAGAAUAUGUAGUGUAGCGGUGAAAUGCUUAGAGAUUACAUGGAAUACCAAUUGCGAAGGCAGGUUACUACUAAUGGAUUGACGCUGAUGGACGAAAGCGUGGGUAGCGAACAGGAUUAGAUACCCUGGUAGUCCACGCCGUAAACGAUGGAUACUAGCUGUUGGGCGCAAGUUCAGUGGCUA
RNAcentral lists this ribosomal RNA (756 nucleotides) under Flavobacterium sp. RNAcentral describes it as "bacterial SSU rRNA". It matches the Rfam family "Bacterial small subunit ribosomal RNA", at positions 90 to 849 of the family's 1533-position model. The record is from RNAcentral. Lineage: Bacteria; Pseudomonadati; Bacteroidota; Flavobacteriia; Flavobacteriales; Flavobacteriaceae.